RNAcentral lists this unclassified non-coding RNA (820 nucleotides) under Pyricularia oryzae. RNAcentral describes it as "sequence contains ITS1, 5.8S rRNA gene, ITS2". The stretch from base 628 to 782 matches the Rfam family "5.8S ribosomal RNA". Lineage: Eukaryota; Fungi; Ascomycota; Sordariomycetes; Magnaporthales; Pyriculariaceae. The record is from RNAcentral.
GGAACUGGGUAUUCCUACUGAUCAGAGGUCACCUUUAAAAAUUGGGGGUUUAGCGGCUGGAGCACGCCGGGACGAUCCGAACGAGGUUCGCGUUUUACCGCGUUUUACUGCGCUCAGUGUACCGACGAGCCCGCCGAUGAACUUGGGGGCCCCGGCCCCCCCACGGCCCCCGCCCCCCCCCCCCAGCGCCCCCCCCCCGCCCCGCCCUCCCCCCCACCCCCCCCCCCCCCCGCCCCACCCCCCCCCCCCCCCCCCCCCCCCCCCCCCCACCCCCCCCCCACACCCCCCACCCCCCUCCCCCGCGCAGUCCCCCCCCCCCCCCCACCCCCCGCCCCCCCCACCCCCCCCUCACACCCCCCCUCCCCCCCCCCGCCCCCCCCGCCCCCCCCCACCCCCCCUGCCCCCCCCCCCCCGCGCCCCCCCACCCCACACCCCACCCCCCCCCCCGCCCCCACGCCACCCUCCCCCCCCCAACGGCGACGCGCCCGCCGCCCCCCGAAGGAUCAUUACUGAGUUGAAAAACUCCACCCUGUGAACAUAACCUCUGUCGUUGCUUCGGCGGGCACCCGCCGGAGGUUCAAAACUCUUAUUUUUUCAGUAUCUCUGAGCCUGAAAGACAAAUAAUCCAAACUUUCACAACGGAUCUCUUGGUUCUGGCAUCCCAUGAAGAACCAGCGAAAUGCGAUAAGAUAAUGGUGAAUUGCAGAAAUUCAAUGAAAUCACCAAUCUUUGAAACCCAUUGCGCCCGCCGCUAUUCGGCCGGCAUGCCGGUUCCAGCGUCAUUUCCCCCACCCCCGCCUGGUGGUUGGGGGCCCCCCCG